GACGAACGCUGGCGGCGUGCUUAACACAUGCAAGUCGAACGGAAAGGCCCUGCUUUUGUUGGUUGCUCGAGUGGCGAACGGGUGAGUAACACGUGAGUAACCUGCCCUUGACUUUGGGAUAACUUCAGGAAACUGGGGCUAAUACCGGAUAGGAGCUCCUGCUGCAUGGUGGGGGUUGGAAAGUUUCGGCGGUUGGGGAUGGACUCGCGGCUUAUCAGCUUGUUGGUGGGGUAGUGGCUUACCAAGGCUUUGACGGGUAGCCGGCCUGAGAGGGUGACCGGCCACAUUGGGACUGAGAUACGGACCAGUAUCCUACGGGAGGCAGCAGUGGAGAAUAUUGCGCAAUGGGCGGACGCCUGAUGCAGCAACGCCGCGUGCGGGAUGACGGCCUUCGGGUGGUAAACAGCUUUCGACUGUGACGAAGCGUGAGUGACGGUAAUGGGUAAAGAAGCACCGGCUAACUACGUG
RNAcentral lists this ribosomal RNA (468 nucleotides) under uncultured bacterium. RNAcentral's name for it is "partial 16S ribosomal RNA". It matches the Rfam family "Bacterial small subunit ribosomal RNA", at positions 28 to 507 of the family's 1533-position model. The record is from RNAcentral.